AUGAGCGUGCUGAGCGGCCUGGCCUCCGAGCCGGGCACCACGCUGUCCAGCAAGGCCAGGAUGAAAAGGCUCCCAAAGAAAAGCCAGAACGAGAAGUACCUACCGGCUGAAGUACCUGCGGCUGCGCAGAGCUGCUAAGGCCACGGUGUUUGAAAAUGCUUCUAUCUGUGAUGAAAUUGCUCGUCUUGAGGAAAAUUUUCUUAAAGCAAAAGAAGAAAGAAGAUACUUGCUGAAGAAGCUCCUCCAGAUUCAUGCUCUAACUGAAGGGGAAUCCCAGGCUGCCACUCCUUCUCACAGCAGCUCCAGUUUGCCCCUGGCUUACGGCAGCGUCGCCAGCUCUUCAGGAACUAUCCAGGGAGCUGGGCCCAGCACUGGGGCUGAGGAGCCAUUUACGAAGAAAUCCAAGGAGAAGAAGGAAAAGGGCAAAGAGAACAGCAAACUGGAAGCUCUGAAGAAAACAUCCAAGAAAAAGAAAAUGGAGGGAGGUGCUCGCAAGCUGGUUCGGCCCAUUGCCCUGGAUCCCUCAGGACAGCCUGUGUUCCCCAUCGGACUAGGGGGUCUGACAGUUUAUAGCCUAGGGGAGAUCAUCACCAACCGACCUGGCUUCCAUGAUGAGAAUGCCAUUUAUCCUGUGGGCUACUGUAGUACCCGAGUGUAUGCCAGCAUGAAGUGCCCAGACCAGAAGAGUCUGUAUACCUGCCAGAUCAAGGACGGUGGUGUGCAGCCUCAGUUUGAAAUUGUUCCUGAAGAUGACCCCCAGAGUACCAUCGUAGGCUCCUCUGCCGAUGCCUGUUAUGAAGAACUGCUCAGAGCCAUCAGUGCCACAACAGAGAAACUGAUGCCUAACCCACUUUCAUGUGGUGCCGACUUCUUUGGGUUUUCCCAUCCAACCAUCCACAGCCUGAUUCAGAGCUGUCCAGAAGCUCAAAACUGUGUCAAUUACCAGUGGGUGAAAUUUGAUGCGUGCAAACCCAGGAAGGGGCAGCUCUCUCAGGAACUGCCAGAGAAUGAUGCAACUAUAAGCCUUGACGCCUUUCAGACGCAGACGUUUGAUGACGACCAUGAUGAUUCCAUCUGCCAGGCUCCCUGGACCUACCUGAGCUUCAGCAUGACGCCUUUGUGUCAUCUUACCAACCAGAGUUCCUGACACAUGAACCCCUGGUUGACACUGACCUGCAGCACCUGAAAUCUCCAUCACAGUGUAGCCCAAUUCAGUCUUCAGAUUGACCAGGAAGGGUGGAGCCCACUUCCUUCUCCUCAGGAGUUUUAAACUAAAACUCACUCUGGAAGAAGG
RNA transcript from Mastomys coucha (southern multimammate mouse), 1294 nucleotides. It is a transcript of the gene named transforming growth factor beta regulator 1 pseudogene, with no coding region annotated. Lineage: Eukaryota; Metazoa; Chordata; Mammalia; Rodentia; Muridae. The transcript has a single exon. The record is from RefSeq and is a predicted model, not a curated record.